RNAcentral lists this ribosomal RNA (2904 nucleotides) under Escherichia coli VR50. Its description in RNAcentral is "bacterial LSU rRNA". It matches the Rfam family "Bacterial large subunit ribosomal RNA". The record is from RNAcentral. Lineage: Bacteria; Pseudomonadati; Pseudomonadota; Gammaproteobacteria; Enterobacterales; Enterobacteriaceae.
GGUUAAGCGACUAAGCGUACACGGUGGAUGCCCUGGCAGUCAGAGGCGAUGAAGGACGUGCUAAUCUGCGAUAAGCGUCGGUAAGGUGAUAUGAACCGUUAUAACCGGCGAUUUCCGAAUGGGGAAACCCAGUGUGUUUCGACACACUAUCAUUAACUGAAUCCAUAGGUUAAUGAGGCGAACCGGGGGAACUGAAACAUCUAAGUACCCCGAGGAAAAGAAAUCAACCGAGAUUCCCCCAGUAGCGGCGAGCGAACGGGGAGCAGCCCAGAGCCUGAAUCAGUGUGUGUGUUAGUGGAAGCGUCUGGAAAGGCGUGCGAUACAGGGUGACAGCCCCGUACACAAAAAUGCACAUGCUGUGAGCUCGAUGAGUAGGGCGGGACACGUGGUAUCCUGUCUGAAUAUGGGGGGACCAUCCUCCAAGGCUAAAUACUCCUGACUGACCGAUAGUGAACCAGUACCGUGAGGGAAAGGCGAAAAGAACCCCGGCGAGGGGAGUGAAAAAGAACCUGAAACCGUGUACGUACAAGCAGUGGGAGCACGCUUAGGCGUGUGACUGCGUACCUUUUGUAUAAUGGGUCAGCGACUUAUAUUCUGUAGCAAGGUUAACCGAAUAGGGGAGCCGAAGGGAAACCGAGUCUUAACUGGGCGUUAAGUUGCAGGGUAUAGACCCGAAACCCGGUGAUCUAGCCAUGGGCAGGUUGAAGGUUGGGUAACACUAACUGGAGGACCGAACCGACUAAUGUUGAAAAAUUAGCGGAUGACUUGUGGCUGGGGGUGAAAGGCCAAUCAAACCGGGAGAUAGCUGGUUCUCCCCGAAAGCUAUUUAGGUAGCGCCUCGUGAAUUCAUCUCCGGGGGUAGAGCACUGUUUCGGCAAGGGGGUCAUCCCGACUUACCAACCCGAUGCAAACUGCGAAUACCGGAGAAUGUUAUCACGGGAGACACACGGCGGGUGCUAACGUCCGUCGUGAAGAGGGAAACAACCCAGACCGCCAGCUAAGGUCCCAAAGUCAUGGUUAAGUGGGAAACGAUGUGGGAAGGCCCAGACAGCCAGGAUGUUGGCUUAGAAGCAGCCAUCAUUUAAAGAAAGCGUAAUAGCUCACUGGUCGAGUCGGCCUGCGCGGAAGAUGUAACGGGGCUAAACCAUGCACCGAAGCUGCGGCAGCGACGCUGAUGCGUUGUUGGGUAGGGGAGCGUUCUGUAAGCCUGCGAAGGUGUGCUGUGAGGCAUGCUGGAGGUAUCAGAAGUGCGAAUGCUGACAUAAGUAACGAUAAAGCGGGUGAAAAGCCCGCUCGCCGGAAGACCAAGGGUUCCUGUCCAACGUUAAUCGGGGCAGGGUGAGUCGACCCCUAAGGCGAGGCCGAAAGGCGUAGUCGAUGGGAAACAGGUUAAUAUUCCUGUACUUGGUGUUACUGCGAAGGGGGGACGGAGAAGGCUAUGUUGGCCGGGCGACGGUUGUCCCGGUUUAAGCGUGUAGGCUGGUUUUCCAGGCAAAUCCGGAAAAUCAAGGCUGAGGCGUGAUGACGAGGCACUACGGUGCUGAAGCAACAAAUGCCCUGCUUCCAGGAAAAGCCUCUAAGCAUCAGGUAACAUCAAAUCGUACCCCAAACCGACACAGGUGGUCAGGUAGAGAAUACCAAGGCGCUUGAGAGAACUCGGGUGAAGGAACUAGGCAAAAUGGUGCCGUAACUUCGGGAGAAGGCACGCUGAUAUGUAGGUGAGGUCCCUCGCGGAUGGAGCUGAAAUCAGUCGAAGAUACCAGCUGGCUGCAACUGUUUAUUAAAAACACAGCACUGUGCAAACACGAAAGUGGACGUAUACGGUGUGACGCCUGCCCGGUGCCGGAAGGUUAAUUGAUGGGGUUAGCGCAAGCGAAGCUCUUGAUCGAAGCCCCGGUAAACGGCGGCCGUAACUAUAACGGUCCUAAGGUAGCGAAAUUCCUUGUCGGGUAAGUUCCGACCUGCACGAAUGGCGUAAUGAUGGCCAGGCUGUCUCCACCCGAGACUCAGUGAAAUUGAACUCGCUGUGAAGAUGCAGUGUACCCGCGGCAAGACGGAAAGACCCCGUGAACCUUUACUAUAGCUUGACACUGAACAUUGAGCCUUGAUGUGUAGGAUAGGUGGGAGGCUUGGAAGUGUGGACGCCAGUCUGCAUGGAGCCGACCUUGAAAUACCACCCUUUAAUGUUUGAUGUUCUAACGUUGACCCGUAAUCCGGGUUGCGGACAGUGUCUGGUGGGUAGUUUGACUGGGGCGGUCUCCUCCUAAAGAGUAACGGAGGAGCACGAAGGUUGGCUAAUCCUGGUCGGACAUCAGGAGGUUAGUGCAAUGGCAUAAGCCAGCUUGACUGCGAGCGUGACGGCGCGAGCAGGUGCGAAAGCAGGUCAUAGUGAUCCGGUGGUUCUGAAUGGAAGGGCCAUCGCUCAACGGAUAAAAGGUACUCCGGGGAUAACAGGCUGAUACCGCCCAAGAGUUCAUAUCGACGGCGGUGUUUGGCACCUCGAUGUCGGCUCAUCACAUCCUGGGGCUGAAGUAGGUCCCAAGGGUAUGGCUGUUCGCCAUUUAAAGUGGUACGCGAGCUGGGUUUAGAACGUCGUGAGACAGUUCGGUCCCUAUCUGCCGUGGGCGCUGGAGAACUGAGGGGGGCUGCUCCUAGUACGAGAGGACCGGAGUGGACGCAUCACUGGUGUUCGGGUUGUCAUGCCAAUGGCACUGCCCGGUAGCUAAAUGCGGAAGAGAUAAGUGCUGAAAGCAUCUAAGCACGAAACUUGCCCCGAGAUGAGUUCUCCCUGACCCUUUAAGGGUCCUGAAGGAACGUUGAAGACGACGACGUUGAUAGGCCGGGUGUGUAAGCGCAGCGAUGCGUUGAGCUAACCGGUACUAAUGAACCGUGAGGCUUAACCUU